This 700-nucleotide ribosomal RNA is filed under the name uncultured bacterium. RNAcentral describes it as "bacterial SSU rRNA". It matches the Rfam family "Bacterial small subunit ribosomal RNA", at positions 8 to 701 of the family's 1533-position model. The record is from RNAcentral.
AGAGUUUGAUCAUGGCUCAGAUUGAACGCUGGCGGAAUGCUUUACACAUGCAAGUCGAGCGGCAGCGCGGGGCAACCUGGCGGCGAGCGGCGAACGGGUGAGUAAUGCAUCGGAACAUGUCCAUUCGUGGGGGAUAGCCCGGCGAAAGCCGGAUUAAUACCGCAUACGCCCCGAGGGGGAAAGCGGGGGACUUCGCAAGAGGCCUCGCGCGAAUGGGUUGGCCGAUGUCCGAUUAGCUAGUUGGUGGGGUAAAGGCCCACCAAGGCGAUGAUCGGUAGCUGGUCUGAGAGGAUGAUCAGCCACACUGGGACUGAGACACGGCCCAGACUCCUACGGGAGGCAGCAGUGGGGAAUUUUGGACAAUGGGGGCAACCCUGAUCCAGCCAUUCCGCGUGAGUGAAGAAGGCCUUCGGGUUGUAAAGCUCUUUUGUCCGGAACGAAACGGGCUUGGUGAAUAGCCAAGUCUACUGACGGUACCGGAAGAAUAAGCACCGGCUAACUACGUGCCAGCAGCCGCGGUAAUACGUAGGGUGCGAGCGUUAAUCGGAAUUACUGGGCGUAAAGCGUGCGCAGGCGGUUUUGUAAGCCAGAUGUGAAAUCCCCGGGCUUAACCUGGGAAUGGCAUUUGGGACUGCAAGGCUCGAGUGCGGCAGAGGAGACUGGAAUUCCUGGUGUAGCAGUGAAAUGCGUAGAUAUCACG